UGAGAAUUUGAUCCUGGUUCAGGAUGAACGCUGGAAGUGUACCUUAAGCAUGCAAGUCGAGCGGUGAAUCUCGAGCUCGCAAGAGUUCGAGAGGAGCAGCGGCAGACGGGUGAGAAAAGACAGGAAUCUACCCUUUUGUGGGGAAUAGCCCGCCGAAAGGCGGGGUAAUACCGCAUAAGUUCGUAAGAAGAAAGGCCUUAACCGGCCGCAGAUGGAUGAGCCUGUUCGCUAUCAGCUAGUUGGUAGGGUAAAAGCCUACCAAGGCUACGACGGCUAGGGGGUGUGAGAGCAUGACCCCCCACAAGGUAACUGAGAUACGGUGCCUACACCUACGGGUGGCAGCAACUGGGAAUUUUGCACAAUGGACGAAAGUCUGAUGCAGUGACACUUCGUGUGGGAUGAAGGCCCUCGGGUCGUAAACCACUGUGAUAGGAGAAAACUUAAGAUGGUACCCUAUUAGAAAGCACCUGCUAACCACGUGCCAGAAGCCUCGGUAAUACGUGGGGUGCAAGCGUUAUCCGGAUUUAUUGGGCGUAAAGAGUAUCGUAGGCGGUUUGUUAAGUAUCGGGUUAAAGCCUGGGGCUCAACUCCAGAGAUGCUCGAUAAACUGGCAGACUAGCGGUUGUUCGGAGAUGUCGGAAUUCUUGGUGGAGGAGUGAAAUCCGUUGAUAUCAAGAAGAACACCAAAAGCGAAGGCAGGCAUCUAGGAUAUACCGGACGCUGAUGAACGAAAGCUAGGGGAGCGAAAGGGAUUAGAGACCCCUGUAGUCCUAGCCGUAAACUAUGAACACUAGCUAUUUCCCGUAAGGGGAGUGGCGUAAGCUAACGCGUUAAGUGUUCCGCCUGGGGAGUACGGCCGCAAGGCUAAAACUCAAAGGAAUUGACGGGGAAACGCACAAUCAGCGUGCCAUGUGGUUUAAUUGGAUACGAAACCUUGAACCUUACCUGGGUUUGACAUGUACCUGCAAAUCUCUGGAAACAGAGACGCCUUCGAGGGUGGUACACAGCUGCUGCAUGGUUGUCGUCAGUUCGUGUCGUGAGGCGUCUAUUUAAGUAUAGUAACGAACGCAACCCCUGUGCUAUGUUAAAUAUCCAUAGCAGACUGCCACGGUUUUUUCCGUGGAGGAAGGAGGGGAUGACGUCAAAUCAUCAUGGCGCUUAUAUCCAGGGCUACACACAUGGCGUAAUGGAUGAGACAACGGGGUGCGAAGCCGCGAGGCGGAGCAAAUCCUAAUAAACUCAUCCUCAGUUCGGAUCGCAGGCUGCAAUUCGCCUGCGUGAAGGGGAGUUGAUAGUAAUCGCAGAUCAGCAACACUGCGGUGAAUACGUUCUCGUUUCUUGUACACACUGCCCGUCAAGUCAACAAAGUCAGUAGUGCCCGAAGUAGGUACCCAUAACCGCAAGGAUUGGGCCUCCUAAGGUAAGACUGGCGAUGGGGGCUAAGUCGUAAACUUAUUGCGACCAUAGAGAGUAAUUUCUAUGAAAAAUCUCGCUGUAUCGGUGAAGCCUAAACAUUCGGUAUACUUUCGGGUAUACUGGAGAUAUGGUAAUACCGAGGGAACCUGUUUCUGAGACAUCAGAGAUAGGACUCCGUAGAGACUACACGCGAGCGCCGCAAAUAUCGAAAGCUUAUAUAGUUGGUAUCCUUCAUGAUGCUACCAAAAGAAAGACUACUUUCAGGGUUUCACAAAAAUCCUCUAAGUUUGUCGAAAUGGUGGCUAAUGGAAUUAGAAGUUUGGGCGGAAACGCCUGGACUUAUAAAGAAGGAAGUAAUCGAAGUGUAUAUAUCGUUGAAUUUUCAAAAUCUUUUCUAAAAGAAUUUGAGAUUGUUUCCGAAAGGGACAAAAUUGAUUAUAUUCGAGGUUAUUUUGAUGCCGAUGGAGGGGUGGCAAAGAGCAGCAAAGUUAGAUUUUAUAUCUACUUUGCCCAGAAGGAUUAUUCUGAUCUCGAACAAGUAAGAAAUUAUUUGAAAGAGAUUCGCAUAGAUUGUGGAGUAAUCCAUAAUCCAAGCAAAAGGAUUGAUCCGUAUUAUUGGAGAUUUUUUGUAAAAGCAAAAUCUUAUGUAGAUUUUGUACAGAAAAUUGGUUCUUUGCAUCCGGAAAAAGCAAAAUAUUUGUGGAUGAAGAUAUAGUCCAUGCCACUAGAAAUACGUGGAAUUUCAUGAACAAGGUAUCCGUACUGGAAGGUGCGGAUGGAUCACCUCCUU
This 2206-nucleotide ribosomal RNA is filed under the name Candidatus Collierbacteria bacterium GW2011_GWF2_44_15. Its description in RNAcentral is "bacterial SSU rRNA". The stretch from base 1 to 1495 matches the Rfam family "Bacterial small subunit ribosomal RNA". The record is from RNAcentral. Lineage: Bacteria; Candidatus Collieribacteriota.